CCUACGGGAGGCAGCAGUGAGGAAUAUUGGUCAAUGGGCGCGAGUCUGAACCAGCCAAGUAGCGUGAAGGAUGACUGCCCUACGGGUUGUAAACUUCUUUUAUAAAGGAAUAAAGUGAGGCACGUGAGCCUUUUUUUAUGUACUUUAUGAAUAAGGAUCGGCUAACUCCGUGCCAGCAGCCGCGGUAAUACGGAGGAUCCGAGCGUUAUCCGGAUUUAUUGGGUUUAAAGGGAGCGUAGAUGGGUUGUUAAGUCAGUUGUGAAAGUUUGCGGCUCAACCGUGAAAUUGCAAUUGAUACUGGCAGUCUUGAGUGCAGUUGAGGUAGGCGGAAUUCGUGGUGUAGCGGUGAAAUGCUUAGAUAUCACGAAGAACUCCGAUUGCGAAGGCAGGUUACUAAACUGCCACUGACAUUGAUGCUCGAAAGUGUGGGUAUCAAACAGGAUUAGAUACCCGAGUAGUC
This 460-nucleotide ribosomal RNA is filed under the name uncultured bacterium. Its description in RNAcentral is "partial 16S ribosomal RNA". It matches the Rfam family "Bacterial small subunit ribosomal RNA", at positions 338 to 795 of the family's 1533-position model. The record is from RNAcentral.